CCUACGGGUGGCAGCAGUGGGGGAUAUUGCACAAUGGGGGAAACCCUGAUGCAGCGACGCCGCGUGUGGGAAGACGGUCCUCUGGAUUGUAAACCACUGUCCCCAGGGACGAAGAUGACGGUACCUGGGGAGGACGCUCCGGCUAACUACGUGCCAGCAGCCGCGGUAAUACGUAGGGCGCGAGCGUUGUCCGGAAUUACUGGGUGAAAGGGGAGCGUAGGCGGGACUGCAAGUUGGGUGUCAAAUCUACCGGCUCAACCGGUAGCCGCACUCAAAACUGCAGUUCUUGAGUGAAGUAGAGGCAGGCGGAAUUCCUAGUGUAGCGGUGAAAUGCGUAGAUAUUAGGAGGAACACCAGUGGCGAAGGCGGCCUGCUGGGCUGUGACUGACGCUGAGGCUCGAAAGUGUGGGGAGCAAACAGGAUUAGAUACCCCGGUAGUC
This 440-nucleotide ribosomal RNA is filed under the name uncultured bacterium. RNAcentral's name for it is "partial 16S ribosomal RNA". It matches the Rfam family "Bacterial small subunit ribosomal RNA", at positions 338 to 795 of the family's 1533-position model. The record is from RNAcentral.